GAUGAAGAACGUAGUGAAAUGCGAUACGUAAUGUGAAUUGCAGAAUUCAGUGAAUCAUCGAAUCUUUGAACGCAUAUUGCGCUCUCUGGUAUUCCGGAGAGCAUGCUUGUUUGAGUAUCAGUAAACACCUCAACUUCCAUAUCUUUUUUGAAAUGGGAGUUGGACUUGAGUGAUCCCAACGCUUUUCCUCACCGAAAAGUGGCGGGUUACUUGAAAUGCAGGUGCAGCUGGACUUUUCUCUGAGCUAUAAGCAUAUCUAUUUAGUCUGCCUAAAAAACAGAUUAUUACCUUUGCUGCAGCUAACAUAAAGGAGAUUAGUUCUUGUGCUGACUGAUGCAGGAUUCACAAAGACGGCUUCGGCCGACUUUGUAAACUCGAUCUCAAAUCAAGUAAGACUACCCGCUGAACUUAAGCAUAUCCAUAAGCGGAGGA
This 432-nucleotide unclassified non-coding RNA is filed under the name soil metagenome. RNAcentral's name for it is "partial contains 5.8S ribosomal RNA, internal transcribed spacer 2, and large subunit ribosomal RNA". The stretch from base 1 to 120 matches the Rfam family "5.8S ribosomal RNA", at positions 35 to 154 of the family's 154-position model. The record is from RNAcentral.